GUCCAGUGUAGCCUAGUUGUCAUGGCAUCUGCCCGGUAAGCGGAAGGUCGUGGGUUCGAUUCCCAUCCCUUGACA
Molecule: transfer RNA, 75 nt
Filed under: Cordylochernes scorpioides
Lineage: Eukaryota; Metazoa; Arthropoda; Arachnida; Pseudoscorpiones; Chernetidae
Description: tRNA-Thr
Rfam family: tRNA
About the family: Transfer RNA (tRNA) molecules are approximately 80 nucleotides in length. Their secondary structure includes four short double-helical elements and three loops (D, anti-codon, and T loops). Further hydrogen bonds mediate the characteristic L-shaped molecular structure. tRNAs have two regions of fundamental functional importance: the anti-codon, which is responsible for specific mRNA codon recognition, and the 3' end, to which the tRNAs corresponding amino acid is attached (by aminoacyl-tRNA synthetases). tRNAs cope with the degeneracy of the genetic code in two manners: having more than one tRNA (with a specific anti-codon) for a particular amino acid; and 'wobble' base-pairing, i.e. permitting non-standard base-pairing at the 3rd anti-codon position.
Source: RNAcentral